RNAcentral lists this ribosomal RNA (497 nucleotides) under uncultured bacterium. RNAcentral describes it as "partial 16S ribosomal RNA". It matches the Rfam family "Bacterial small subunit ribosomal RNA", at positions 28 to 507 of the family's 1533-position model. The record is from RNAcentral.
GAUGAACGCUGGCGGCGUGCCUAAUACAUGCAAGUCGAGCGAACAGACGAGGAGCUUGCUCCUCUGACGUUAUCGGCGGACGGGUGAGUAACACGUGGAUAACCUACCUAUAAGACUGGGAUAACUUCGGGAAACCGUAUCUAAUACCGGAUAACAUGUUGAACCGCAUGGUUCAACAGUUAAAUACGGUCUUUCUGUCACUUAUAGAUGGAUCCGCCCCGCAUUAGUUAGUUGGUAAGGUAACGGCUUACCAAGGCAACGACGCGUAGCCGACCUGAAAGGGUGAUCGGCCACCUGGGAACUGAGACACGGCCCAGACUCCGAGGGGAGGCAGCGGUAGGGAAUCUUCCGGAAUGGGCGAAAGCCUAACGGAGCAACGCGGCGUGAGUGAAGAAGGUCUUCGGAUCGUAAAGCUCUGUUAUUAGGGAAGAACAAAUGUGUAAGUAACUAUGCACGUCUUGACGGUACCUAAUCAGAAAGCCACGGCUAACUACGUG